Molecule: ribosomal RNA, 1437 nt
Filed under: uncultured organism
Description: partial small subunit ribosomal RNA
Rfam family: Bacterial small subunit ribosomal RNA
Source: RNAcentral
CUCUGGCGGCGUGCUUAACACAUGCAAGUCGAACGGAAAGGCCCUGCUUUUGUGGGGUGCUCGAGUGGCGAACGGGUGAGUAACACGUGAGUAACCUGCCCUUGACUUUGGGAUAACUUCAGGAAACUGGGGCUAAUACCGGAUAGGAGCUCCUGCUGCAUGGUGGGGGUUGGAAAGUUUCGGCGGUUGGGGAUGGACUCGCGGCUUAUCAGCUUGUUGGUGGGGUAGUGGCUUACCAAGGCUUUGACGGGUAGCCGGCCUGAGAGGGUGACCGGCCACAUUGGGACUGAGAUACGGCCCAGACUCCUACGGGAGGCAGCAGUGGGGAAUAUUGCACAAUGGGCGGAAGCCUGAUGCAGCAACGCCGCGUGCGGGAUGACGGCCUUCGGGUUGUAAACCGCUUUCGCCUGUGACGAAGCGUGAGUGACGGUAAUGGGUAAAGAAGCACCGGCUAACUACGUGCCAGCAGCCGCGGUGAUACGUAGGGUGCGAGCGUUGUCCGGAUUUAUUGGGCGUAAAGGGCUCGUAGGUGGUUGAUCGCGUCGGAAGUGUAAUCUUGGGGCUUAACCCUGAGCGUGCUUUCGAUACGGGUUGACUUGAGGAAGGUAGGGGAGAAUGGAAUUCCUGGUGGAGCGGUGGAAUGCGCAGAUAUCAGGAGGAACACCAGUGGCGAAGGCGGUUCUCUGGGCCUUUCCUGACGCUGAGGAGCGAAAGCGUGGGGAGCGAACAGGCUUAGAUACCCUGGUAGUCCACGCUGUAAACGGUGGGUACUAGGUGUGGGGUCCAUUCCACGGGUUCCGUGCCGUAGCUAACGCUUUAAGUACCCCGCCUGGGGAGUACGGCCGCAAGGCUAAAACUCAAAGGAAUUGACGGGGCCCCGCACAAGCGGCGGAGCAUGCGGAUUAAUUCGAUGCAACGCGUAGAACCUUACCUGGGUUUGACAUGGAUCGGGAGUGCUCAGAGAUGGGUGUGCCUCUUUUGGGGUCGGUUCACAGGUGGUGCAUGGCUGUCGUCAGCUCGUGUCGUGAGAUGUUGGGUUAAGUCCCGCAACGAGCGCAACCCUUGUUCACUGUUGCCAGCACGUUAUGGUGGGGACUCAGUGGAGACCGCCGGGGUCAACUCGGAGGAAGGUGGGGAUGACGUCAAGUCAUCAUGCCCCUUAUGUCCAGGGCUUCACGCAUGCUACAAUGGCUGGUACAGAGAGUGGCGAGCCUGUGAGGGUGAGCGAAUCUCGGAAAGCCGGUCUCAGUUCGGAUUGGGGUCUGCAACUCGACCUCAUGAAGUCGGAGUCGCUAGUAAUCGCAGAUCAGCAACGCUGCGGUGAAUACGUUCCCGGGGCUUGUACACACCGCCCGUCAAGUCAUGAAAGUUGGUAACACCCGAAGCCGGUGGCCUAACCGUUGUGGGGGAGCCGUCGAAGGUGGGACUGGUGAUUAG